Molecule: unclassified non-coding RNA, 4571 nt
Filed under: Actinia tenebrosa (Australian red waratah sea anemone)
Lineage: Eukaryota; Metazoa; Cnidaria; Anthozoa; Actiniaria; Actiniidae
Description: qRFP-like peptide receptor, transcript variant X4
Source: RNAcentral
AUUCAUGCGCAAUUACUUUGCGGUUUUCUUACCCGGUAAAGCAGAAUGUUUUAUAGAUACGAAUAGAAAGCGACAGGCAAGGUCCCCCUUACUAAAACGGGCAACACUUUGGAGACACUCGUUGUGAGCUGAUAUGAUGAGUAACUUAACAGCCAUGAUUGAAGACAACAGCACAAGUAAUGCGUCUAACGACCCAACCUCCAGGACAGGCACAUCUCUGUACAGCAUUCCUCUCACCACCAAGACUGUCAUGACAUCAGCGUAUACCAUUGCUUUCAUACUCGGGUUGCUAGGCAACGGGUUAGGCUUGUUCAUCGUCAUCAAGCGGUCAAGGAAAAGCUUCUGCAGUACCAACGUCCUCAUAGGGAACAUGGCACUGGCAGAUUUGUUGGUGACAGUCUUUGCGAUGCCUCAAUCCGUAGGAUUCCUGUAUAUACAGAACAAAUGGUUUGGAGGGAUAGCUGGAAACAUGGCCUGUAAGUUGGCGCACUUCCCAUAUGUAGUCACAAUCGCCGCAUCCAUCCUAACCAUCCUCUGUAUCUCCAUAGAGCGCUACUGUGCCGUUUUCUAUCUCCUUAGGAAUUCUAUUUUCAGACGAUCCAAGUUUCUAACAGCCCUCAUUUGGGGGUUUUCUUUGGCUCUAGCGUCUCCGUAUUUGUUUUCAUACACUGUGACCCAGGACACCAACGGACAACAUUACUGUGUCGUGGAAUGGGGCGACAUAGAAACGACCUACCAAUCACAACGCAUUUACUAUUUGUUUAUCUUCAUCUUCUUGUACGCCCUGCCAUUGAUUUUUAUAAGUGUAUUAUACACACUUAUUGCCAGGAAGUUGUGGAGAAAAACGACUCCAAGGGAUGGCACCAUAGCCACAAGGAAGUCGGCGGUGACACAGAAGCGCAAAGUCAUACGUCUUCUUAUUGUCCUGGUGAUAGUGUUCGCUGCCUGCGCGGCACCGGCUCACAUAAUGCACUAUUACAUGUUCUACGACCAAGCUAAUUGGAUGGUCAUUCCCAUUGAGAUCAAGUUGAUAUCGUUCUGGAUAUCCCAAAGUAAUAGCACCAUCAACCCAGCUAUCUACAUCCUGCUAAACGAGUCAUUCAGGCGGGAGUUUUUCCGGCUGACACAAAGCGCGAUGUGCUUACAAAAUUCAGCUUUUCGAGUUUCAUCGACGAAGACGACGAAGAGAACGUGGAAGAUGAAACGAACAAUGAGUACCAGGUAUUGGAUGCCUGGAAAGAAAAGAGAAGCGUGCUUGUAGUGAAGUGCGGUGCGGAUAUAGAUAUAAUGUUCCUGUAGCUUGUGGGGUAAUGUUCGUGCGACCAACAUCUCAACAGCGUAGCCAGUGCUUGCCAAGUAUUACAUAAAAAGAGACGCAUGCUUGUAGUGAAGUGCGGUGCGGAUAUAGAUAUAAUGUUCCUGUAGCUUGUGAGGUAAUGUUCGUGCGACCAACAUCUCAACAGCGUAGCCAGUGUUUGCCAAGUAUUACAUAAAAAGAGACGCAUGCUUGUAGUAAAGUAAGGUGUGGGUAUAGGUAUUUUGUUUCUGUAGCUUGUCCUCGCAAUGCUCAUUAGGGCUCACAGCUUUGACAGUGUUUGAGUAUAGUCUAGUUUCAAAGGUAGCUUCUUCAAUAAGACCAUCGAGAUAUAAGGUAAAAAACAACGAGAUAAAAGGUUGGUCAGCGUGAUCAAAUGUCUUAUUACUACCAAAACACAAUAAAACAAGAUCUUGAUUCCAGACGCAUGAAUUAAACAUAUUCCAAAAAUAAUCUUACACUUCACCAAAGUAGUUGCACUCCCAAGUGCUGGUGGCAAGCAAGGCACAUCAGUGAUGGCACUGACGAAAUCUCUAUCUUGAAGUGUGUUCCUGUUUAAUCUAUAGAUUGCAGUAAAUGUAGUUCCAUUCCAAAUGGCUAAAGGCUUUAUCGAUAAUGUUCAAUAUUACAUUGUAAUAGUUAUGGGAGUCCGUCAGCUGAUUUCAAAAGUGAAUUAACGGAGAACAACGACUCUCGCAUUCCAUGCUGCAUUUGCGUCAAGCAUUUCCUAGAUAAAAGACGGCUAUGGUUUUAACAAAUGAUGGCUUCAGAAAUAAAGUUCUUGAGUGACUAAGCUGUGUUGGAAUCACGGUUUUCCAAGAACAGUUACCGCAAGAUUUGAAAGUCUUUCAAAGUAAACCAAUGAAAUAACCCUUGUCGACGUCGACGUCUGUAUAUAGACAUGCUUUGGGAUGUCUCGAACCAAGUAUUUUGAUAAAGGCUUUAUUUUGCAUAUUUGAACUGCACGCUUUGAUCCAUACAGUAUACAGUUGAGUGCUCUGGUCUGUACUCUUACAGCUCUGGUCUCCUCAAUCUUUAUCUCUGAAUCCAUACAGUAUACAGCUGAGUGCUCUGGUCUGUACUCCUUGCAAAGUCACGUGAGGGCGGCCAUGUUGGAUGACUCAAAUUUUUAUUUAACAAAUUCCUUUCCUAUACACACCUAGGCUUAGUUUUUAAUCAAGGGUCUUAUUUCGAAGAGACUGGUGGCGUCUCGUCCAUUUGUUGUCGUGGAGGUCUGGGUACACGUCGCUGUUUUAAGUUUGACGUCACAGCUGCACCAAUAACAUUUUCGAUAAACUUCUGCAUGUUGCGCACAUCUUCUUGAUCGACGAAAGUCUCUGGAAAACGAUAGCUGAAAAAAAAAAACAAGAAAUAAAUAAAUGUGCUAGAAAGCGCGCUAUCUAGAGAGGUCAGAUCAAACGAAUUGUAGCAGAGACCACACUCUCAGAUACCUGUCAUUCUGACUGCGCAUGCUCGACGAAUGCAUUCUAUCGAGCAUGCGGUAGUAAUGGAAGACCGUGACAUAGUUUUGUACAACGGCAGCGCAAGCUUUUGUUGUCAGUUUUAAAAUAUGCUUGUAGUAUACAGGGAACCUUUGUAGGUCUAAUACGUACAGUUUAACUCUUUAUGACCUAAUUAUUAUUUAGAAUAAACCUUUGUAGUGCGAUAACGCAGUUCUCCGUCAUAGAGAAAGGAAUAGCACGCUUCCAAUGUAUGCGUCGCUUGUCAUGCACAAAGGUUUCAGCACGAGGCUACGUGCUAAAUUACUAACUUAUUCAUUUCUCCUGUAACCAGUCCAUGAGCAAUAUGCACAAUAUGCCUCACACUGAAACCUUUGUGCGUUAAUACAAGUGAAGCAUAUAUUUCGGAAGUGGGCUAUUUUAGGCGACUGUAAAUAUAGGUCAUUGUAAGCAUUAUUUGAAUGGAAUUUUCUGUUUAAAACGAGUUCGCUCGAGUUUUAAUUAAUUCUUUAUUCAAUAAUAUCAGAACUUAGGAUUAUAGUUUAAUGAAACUAAAUACAGCCAAGGCUCGUUACUUUUUAAUUUGUUUUUAAUUAAAUAACUCAUAUUUUCUCAACUGAGGAAAAAUACGCUCAAAAAUUAUUCGUAUGACUUAUAUAAUUGUAGGUUAUGAAAAAAAAAAACAGUUUUGAGCAGGAAUAAUUUAAUAUGAGUAUUAAUUAAUAUUAUUACUGGUUUGAAUGUUAAAAAGUUGCUUUGCAGCUAGGCGCUGACAUCAGACACUCAAAACAUGUUUUAACUGACUUCUGAAACUUGUAUCUUUGUCGGCUAACUGAAAAAUUUUAACGUUUGUCGAUUUCAAAGGCAGUCAAAGUUUCGAUGUCUGAUAUCGCGCCUAGAUGCAAACGACAGUAUUUAGUUAUAGGCAUACAAUGGUUAACAUUUAGUAGGUAUACUUUGUGGAUUUAAAAAACGGCAUCAUUUGACACUGCUUUAUUUAUUGAUAAUAUAGUAUAAUUAAAGUGCAUCAAAGGAAAUUCUAAUUUGCAAUGGCGUACCCCAAGAUUUAUCUUGGGACCAUUUUAUUAAUAAGUUAAGAUAUGUAAGCUAUUCUUAUUGACAACCGUAUGUAUACCCCAGCUUUUAAUUGGGACCGUUUUAUUGAUAAGUUAAUAUAACUCGCAAUAAAAAGAUUUGACGUCUAAAUCAAAUCAUAUUUUAUUAUUUAUUAUUUUUAUAUCUUAUUUUAUUUAUACAAGUUAAACUAGAAGCUUGUGGGGCCGUGUAUCCUCCACUCUAUACACACAACCAUCAACUCACACGUCGUGUUUUUACGGAGGGAGGAAAACUGGAGAACCCGGAGAAAAACUUGUAGCACAGAAGAGAACAACACAUUAAACAAACUCAACUCACAUGCUAGCUUGGUCUAGUCUAGGUUACUUUUGAAAAUAAAUAGGAUGUUUGUAUGAUGGCGUCAUUUGACUCCCACUACCAUAAUGUUCGCGAAUUUUCUUUCUUAUCACAGUUGGUGCUAGUUUACUGAACAAAAGAGAGUGUGUAAGGCAUUUUGGUAGUAGAGGUCAAUGACGCCAUCAUNCAAACGUCCUAUUGUCUUGAAAAAGGGCGUAUGCAAAAGCUAAGGUAAUUAGACCACGGUUUCAAAAAUGCAAUUUUGAAUUCCUUUUUUAAAAAUAAUUAGUGUGAAGUAAAAUUGUAGUACAUUCGGAAAUUAUAAGGGUUGUUGUAUACAGAGCAUAUGUGUUUUUAAUUGCGCCAAUAAAAGAAGAUUAAAUCUC